Myodes glareolus (Bank vole) is the source of this 1587-nucleotide non-coding RNA. The record is from RefSeq and is a predicted model, not a curated record. Lineage: Eukaryota; Metazoa; Chordata; Mammalia; Rodentia; Cricetidae.
CAGAGAUCUGCAUGUCUCUGCCUCCCGAGUACUGGGAUUAAAGGCCAAUCCAGCUUCUUCAUUCGUUAACCAACAAAAACAACACAUAUACAGGACUUUCCACACUACCACUUGUCCCUUCUGCCCGAGGGAUCCAGAUGCAAAAUUCUCAGCUCCCACUUCAGCGCCAUGACUGUCUGUGUUGUGUUCUGCCGUGAUAAUCAUGGAUUAACUCUCUGAAGCUGUAAGCAAGCCCCCAGUUAAAUGCCUUCUUUUAUAAGAGUUGCCUUCGUCAUGGUGUCUCUUCUUAACAAUAGAAUGGUGACUAAGACAAAAGUCUUAGAGUGAGAGACAAGUACACAGGACAAGGCCAAAUAGAAAGAUAGUAUGUUUUCAUAAAUAUGGCUUCCGGUGAUAACUUCUACAUAAUGGAGAAAAGACUCUGACGUGGUCCAGCUUUCCUCAAGGAAAUUUCAUUACAGCCCUGGAACAAUGAACCAGAGCUUUUCUGUGUAUUCAGACUGGCCCUGAACUUUUGAUCAUCCUGCCUUGGCCUCCAAAGUCUUGGAACCCAAAACUGACACUGCUUGAAUGACCCAGAACCUGAGACUAAAUAGCCCUGGGACAUAGGGUGAAACUCUACUAGUUCAAAUCAAACGGCUGCUGAUGGCUUCCUGCUGUACUCACAGAUCAGGGCCUUGCUCAGCCAUCAUCAGAGAAAUGUCCUCUCGCAGCAUGGAAACAAACACAGAGACCUACAGCCAGACAUGCCCAGCGGUAGAUGACCAACACAAAAGAACUCAAUGACGUUUUUGGAGAUUGUUUAUCUCAUUAUGCUUUAUCAGGACUUUUAAAUAUAUAUUAGUGGUCCCUUAUGUGUGUAUUAUGGCUUCCGGAUUUGUGUUUUUAUGGGAUUCCUGUUUGUACAAACAUGUAUAUCUCUGUGUCUAUAUGUGUGUGAUUUCUUUGGCUCUUUUUCUUCUGUUUGUUUGUUUGGCUUGUUAUAUUUUUGUUUAUUUUUAUUUUAUCUUAGAGAGACAGAGAGACAGAGAGACCCAGUCUUAUUGGACGCACUUGUAAUCUGGAUAGGUAGAAAGAGGUAGGUUCCGGGAUUCAUUAUUUAGCCAGCUAACCUAAUCUGCUUGAUAAGCAAGGCCAGUAAGAGAGUCUGUCUCUAAAAUAAAAUAAGCAGAGUACCUAGGAGACAGCACACUAGGUUGUCCCCUGGCCUCCACACACACAGACAUUUAAAUGCAUUUACACAUGCACACAGACAAUUUUAUUCUCAGUGAUAUUUGGAGUAGAAGGUAGUACCACAAACAAGCUUGGACUUUUCUUUUUAUGAGACCCUUAAGAAAUUUGCAUUGCUUCCAAACUUGCUUUGUAGCCCUGAUAACCUGGAUCAUACAAAGAACACAGCUUCUGGAAGUGAACCAGCAGCUAGAGGUCACUCAACAAGUGAGGAAGACACAAGUUUGAUACCCAGCACCACAUGAAACUAGGCAGACUCCUACAGUCUUGGUCACGAUAUCUUCUUCUUCCUUAUCCCAAUUGUGGUCCCACAGUAUGGCUCCUAUUGCUUGAAGGAAUAAAUUAACCUUAAGAGAC